GGAGGGAUACCAAAGUGGCCAAAUGGGCCUGACUGUAAAUCAGGUGGCUAUGCCUUCGAAGGUUCAAAUCCUUCUCCCUCCACCA
RNAcentral lists this transfer RNA (85 nucleotides) under Verrucomicrobia bacterium GWF2_62_7. Its description in RNAcentral is "tRNA-Tyr". It matches the Rfam family "tRNA". From Rfam's summary of the family: Transfer RNA (tRNA) molecules are approximately 80 nucleotides in length. Their secondary structure includes four short double-helical elements and three loops (D, anti-codon, and T loops). Further hydrogen bonds mediate the characteristic L-shaped molecular structure. tRNAs have two regions of fundamental functional importance: the anti-codon, which is responsible for specific mRNA codon recognition, and the 3' end, to which the tRNAs corresponding amino acid is attached (by aminoacyl-tRNA synthetases). tRNAs cope with the degeneracy of the genetic code in two manners: having more than one tRNA (with a specific anti-codon) for a particular amino acid; and 'wobble' base-pairing, i.e. permitting non-standard base-pairing at the 3rd anti-codon position. Lineage: Bacteria; Pseudomonadati; Verrucomicrobiota. The record is from RNAcentral. RNAcentral also lists the same sequence under 2 other names.